GGUGAGGUGUCCGAGUGGUUUAAGGAGACGGUCUUGAAAACCGUUGUACGGGAAACCGUACCGUGAGUUCGAAUCUCACCCUCACCGCCA
Molecule: transfer RNA, 90 nt
Filed under: Candidatus Yanofskybacteria bacterium RIFCSPHIGHO2_01_FULL_44_22
Lineage: Bacteria; Candidatus Yanofskyibacteriota
Also listed under: 1 other name
Description: tRNA-Ser
Rfam family: tRNA
About the family: Transfer RNA (tRNA) molecules are approximately 80 nucleotides in length.
Source: RNAcentral